CAGCAGCCGCGGGAAUACGAAGGGGGCUAGCGUUGUUCGGAAUUACUGGGCGUAAAGCGCACGUAGGCGGAUAUUUAAGUCAGGGGUGAAAUCCCGCAGCUCAACUGCGGAACUGCCUUUGAUACUGGGUAUCUUGAGUAUGGAAGAGGUAAGUGGAAUUGCGAGUGUAGAGGUGAAAUUCGUAGAUAUUCGCAGGAGCACCAGUGGCGAAGGCGGCUUACUGGUCCAUUACUGACGCUGAGGUGCGAAAGCGUGGGGAGCAAACAGGAUUAGAUACCCCGGUAGUCCCUGUCUCUUAUAA
This 301-nucleotide ribosomal RNA is filed under the name uncultured bacterium. Its description in RNAcentral is "partial 16S ribosomal RNA". It matches the Rfam family "Bacterial small subunit ribosomal RNA", at positions 509 to 809 of the family's 1533-position model. The record is from RNAcentral.